This 253-nucleotide ribosomal RNA is filed under the name uncultured bacterium. RNAcentral's name for it is "partial 16S ribosomal RNA". It matches the Rfam family "Bacterial small subunit ribosomal RNA", at positions 524 to 776 of the family's 1533-position model. The record is from RNAcentral.
UACGGAGGGGGCUAGCGUUGUUCGGAAUUACUGGGCGUAAAGGGCUCGUAGGCGGCUUUGUAAGUUAGAGGUGAAAGCCCGGGGCUCAACUCCGGAAUUGCCUUUAAGACUGCAUCGCUAGAACGUCGGAGAGGUAAGUGGAAUUCCGAGUGUAGAGGUGAAAUUCGUAGAUAUUCGGAAGAACACCAGUGGCGAAGGCGACAUACUGGACGACCGUUGACGCUGAAGGGCGAAAGCGUGGGGAGCAAACAGG